Molecule: long non-coding RNA, 723 nt
Organism: Hibiscus syriacus
Lineage: Eukaryota; Viridiplantae; Streptophyta; Magnoliopsida; Malvales; Malvaceae
Exons: 2
Source: RefSeq, a predicted model, not a curated record
UUCUUCUUCAGAAACAGAGAGAGAGAAAACUCUCUCAACUCUCUCAUCAGAGGAGAGAAAAACGACACCGUCGGUGGAGCUCGCUGCGGCUCACGGCGGCCGGAGAACUCAGACCACCCCAACUGGAUCAUCUUCUCACCCUCAACUCACCUCUCUAACUGGUUUAGCCUAGAAACACCCCUAGAGCCCUAGAUCUAACUUUAUACCUUUCGAAAUUUUAGAGGAACGUCGACCCUCGGGCUUCCCGAUGCUUCGAACUGCGGAAGAACCCUCUCUCUCUUUUUUCUUAUUUAUUUCUAAUGGUUCGAAUGGGUUUUCUUGUUUUUUCCGGGAUUGGGUUCGAAUAGUCACUGUAGAUGAUAGCGGCAACGUCAGAGGCGGUCGGAGUUGACAGAAACAAAGGACAGCGGUGAUAGAAGCUAAUAUAGGGUUUUAAAAAUGCUAGAGUGAAUCGGGUCGGGUCCUGGGUCACUAGGCCAGUUCGGGUCGGAUCCUGGGCUUGAAUCGGGUCACGGGUUAGCUGGUAAUCUGAUGUGCUGCCUUGGGUUGAUGUUUUUGGGCUCCAGCAUUGGGUUUUGGUCAUUUGUUGGGCCUCGGGUAGACUAAGUCACUUGAUGUUGGGCUGGGUGCUGGGUUUAUAACGGGUCACUGGUGGGAUUAGGCCUGCAAAAUAUAUAUUCUUGUAUUAAUAAUAAUAAUUAAUAAACAUAAUAUUAAUAUUAA